Molecule: ribosomal RNA, 468 nt
Filed under: uncultured bacterium
Lineage: Bacteria
Description: partial 16S ribosomal RNA
Rfam family: Bacterial small subunit ribosomal RNA
Source: RNAcentral
GACGAACGCUGGCGGCGUGCUUAACACAUGCAAGUCGAACGGAAAGGCCCUGCUUUUGUGGGGUGCUCGAGUGGCGAACGGGUGAGUAACACGUGAGUAACCUGCCCUUGACUUUGGGAUAACUUCAGGAAACUGGGGCUAAUACCGGAUAGGAGCUCCUGCUGCAUGGUGGGGGUUGGAAAGUUUCGGCGGUUGGGGAUGGACUCGCGGCUUAUCAGCUUGUUGGUGGGGUAGUGGCUUACCAAGGCUUUGACGGGUAGCCGGCCUGAGAGGGUGACCGGCGACAUUGGUACUGAGAGACGGCGCAGACUGCUACGGGAGGCAGUAGGGGGGAAUAUUGUACAGUGGGCGGAAGCCUGAUGCAGCAACGCCGCGUGCGUGAAGACGGCCUGCGGGGUGUAAACCGCUGUCGCCUGUGACGAAGCGUGAGUGACGGUAAUGGGUAAAGAAGCACCGGCUAACUACGUG